Molecule: ribosomal RNA, 449 nt
Filed under: uncultured bacterium
Lineage: Bacteria
Description: partial 16S ribosomal RNA
Rfam family: Bacterial small subunit ribosomal RNA
Source: RNAcentral
AACGAACGCUGGCGGCAUGCCUAAUACAUGCAAGUCGAACGAGACCUUCGGGUCUAGUGGCGCACGGGUGCGUAACGCGUGGGAAUCUGCCCUUGGGUUCGGAAUAACAGCGGGAAACUGCUGCUAAUACCGGAUGAUGACGUAAGUCCAAAGAUUUAUCGCCCAAGGAUGAGCCCGCGUAGGAUUAGCUAGUUGGUGGGGUAAAGGCCUACCAAGGCGACGAUCCUUAGCUGGUCUGAGAGGAUGAUCAGCCACACUGGGACUGAGACACGGCCCAGACUCCUACGGGAGGCAGCAGUAGGGAAUAUUGGACAAUGGGCGAAAGCCUGAUCCAGCAAUGCCGCGUGAGUGAUGAAGGCCUUAGGGUUGUAAAGCUCUUUUACCCGAGAUGAUAAUGACAGUAUCGGGAGAAUAAGCUCCGACUAACUCCGUGCCAGCCGCCGCCGUAA